GGAUGCAAGGGUGAUCUGGUUGCAACAUUGGUCAAUUCAUUGAUCAGUAGGGAUCAGUUGACUGACUUGGCAGGCUAGGCAAGUAUCCCCUUCCUCCCUCAUCACUCCAUGUACAUCUCUCCCAAAGCUGCAUGCUUGGUGGAAGAAGGAAUAGGAGUGUACCAAUCUUCAUUCAAGGGUUCCUUAAUUCCGUUUGGCCCUUUAAAGCUCCUAAACCCCCCAAAUGGAUAAGCAAUGUGGUCCUGCCCAUUCAGGAGACAUCACAUU
RNAcentral lists this small RNA (267 nucleotides) under Notechis scutatus (mainland tiger snake). RNAcentral describes it as "7SK RNA (ENSNSUG00000020019.1)". The stretch from base 1 to 188 matches the Rfam family "7SK RNA". From Rfam's summary of the family: 7SK was discovered as an abundant small nuclear RNA in the mid-70s but a possible function has only recently been suggested. Two independent studies have found that 7SK RNA binds the CDK9/cyclin T complex (known as elongation factor P-TEFb). P-TEFb activates transcription by phosphorylating the C-terminal domain of RNA polymerase II. Lineage: Eukaryota; Metazoa; Chordata; Lepidosauria; Squamata; Elapidae. The record is from RNAcentral.